AGGUUACUGCUAUCGAGGUUCGACUAAGCCAUGCGAGUCGAAUGUAGCAAUACAUGGCGUACUGCUCAGUAACACGUGGACAACCUACCCUCCGGACGGGUAUAAACCCGGGAAACUGGGUAUAAUCCCCGAUAGAUCUCGGUCGCUGGAAAGCCCCGAGAUCGAAAGCUCCGGCGCCAGAGGAUGGGUCUGCGGCCUAUCAGGUAGUAGUGGGUGUAGCGUACCUACUAGCCUACGACGGGUACGGGUUGUGAGAGCAAGAGCCCGGAGAUGGAUUCUGAGACACGAAUCCAGGCCCUACGGGGUGCAGCAGGCGCGAAAACUUUACAAUGCCGGCAACGGCGAUAAGGGGACCUCGAGUGCCAGGUUACAAAUCUGGCUGUCGUGAUGCCUAAAAAGCAUUGCAUAGCAAGGGCCGGGCAAGACCGGUGCCAGCCGCCGCGGUAACACCGGCGGCUCGAGUGGUAACCGUUAUUAUUGGGUCUAAAGGGUCUGUAGCCGGCCAGAUAAGUCUCUUGAGAAAUCCAGCAGCUCAACUGUUGGGCUUUCAGGAGAUACUGUCUGGCUCGAGGCCGGGAGAGGUGAGAGGUACUUCAGGGGUAGGGGUGAAAUCUUGUAAUCCUUGAAGGACCACCAGUGGCGAAGGCGUCUCACCAGAACGGACCUGACGGCAAGGGACGAAAGCUAGGGGCACGAACCGGAUUAGAUACCCGGGUAGUCCUAGCCGUAAACGAUACUCGCUAGGUGUCGGCCGCGGUGCGACCGCUGUCGGUGCCGUAGGGAAGCCGUGAAGCGAGCCACCUGGGAAGUACGGCCGCAAGGCUGAAACUUAAAGGAAUUGGCGGGGG
Molecule: ribosomal RNA, 848 nt
Filed under: uncultured archaeon
Lineage: Archaea
Description: bacterial SSU rRNA
Rfam family: Archaeal small subunit ribosomal RNA
Source: RNAcentral